UAAGUUUUUUUNNNNNNCUCAGGAUGAACGCUGGCGGCGUGCCUAAUACAUGCAAGUCGAACGCUUUGUCUUUAAUUGAUCUGACGAGCUUGCUCUGAUGUGAUUUUAUCUGACAAAGAGUGGCGAACGGGUGAGUAACACGUGGGUAACCUACCUCUUAGCAGGGGAUAACAUUUGGAAACAAGUGCUAAUACCGUAUAAUACCAACAACCGCAUGGUUGUUGGUUGAAAGAUGGUUCUGCUAUCACUAAGAGAUGGACCCGCGGUGCAUUAGCUAGUUGGUAAGGUAAUGGCUUACCAAGGCAAUGAUGCAUAGCCGAGUUGAGAGACUGAUCGGCCACAAUGGGACUGAGACACGGCCCAUACUCCUACGGGAGGCAGCAGUAGGGAAUCUUCCACAAUGGGCGCAAGCCUGAUGGAGCAACGCCGCGUGUGUGAUGAAGGGUUUCGGCUCGUAAAACACUGUUAUAAGAGAAGAACGGCACUGAGAGUAACUGUUCAGUGUGUGACGGUAUCUUACCAGAAAGGAACGGCUAAAUACGUGCCAGCAGCCGCGGUAAUACGUAUGUUCCAAGCGUUAUCCGGAUUUAUUGGGCGUAAAGCGAGCGCAGACGGUUAUUUAAGUCUGAAGUGAAAGCCCUCAGCUCAACUGAGGAAUGGCUUUGGAAACUGGAUGACUUGAGUGCAGUAGAGGAAAGUGGAACUCCAUGUGUAGCGGUGAAAUGCGUAGAUAUAUGGAAGAACACCAGUGGCGAAGGCGGCUUUCUGGACUGUAACUGACGUGNGCUCG
This 790-nucleotide ribosomal RNA is filed under the name Weissella paramesenteroides. RNAcentral's name for it is "bacterial SSU rRNA". It matches the Rfam family "Bacterial small subunit ribosomal RNA", at positions 1 to 755 of the family's 1533-position model. Lineage: Bacteria; Bacillati; Bacillota; Bacilli; Lactobacillales; Lactobacillaceae. The record is from RNAcentral.